Molecule: ribosomal RNA, 429 nt
Filed under: Actinomycetes bacterium
Lineage: Bacteria; Bacillati; Actinomycetota; Actinomycetes
Description: Actinobacteria bacterium partial 16S ribosomal RNA
Rfam family: Bacterial small subunit ribosomal RNA
Source: RNAcentral
UAGGGAAUCUUCCGCAAUGGGCGAAAGCUUGACGGAGCAACGCCGCGUGAGUGAUGAAGGUCUUCGGAUCGUAAAACUCUGUUAUUAGGGAAGAACAAAUGUGUAAGUAACUAUGCACGUCUUGACGGUACCUAAUCAGAAAGCCACGGCUAACUACGUGCCAGCAGCCGCGGUAAUACGUAGGUGGCAAGCGUUAUCCGGAAUUAUUGGGCGUAAAGCGCGCGUAGGCGGUUUUUUAAGUCUGACGUGAAAGCCCACGGCUCAACCGUGGAGGGUCAUUGGAAACUGGAAAACUUGAGUGCAGAAGAGGAAAGUGGAAUUCCAUGUGAAGCGGUGAAAUGCGCAGAGAUAUGGAGGAACACCAGUGGCGAAGGCGACUUUCUGGUCUGUAACUGACGCUGAUGUGCGAAAGCGUGGGGAUCAAACAGG